GUUGUUUUGUUUUAUCAUCAAAGGAUGUUGGAUUCUGUCAAUUUAUUCUAUUGUAGUGUAUUACCUUGGUUGAUUUGCAUGUGUUGAUACACCCUCAUAUUACUGGAAUAACUCCCACUUAGUUAUGUUGCAUAAUCCCUUUAAUAUGCUGCUGGAUUCAGUGAACUUUUUUUUAAAGGAUUUUGCCUCUAUAUUCUUAAGGAAUAUUAUCUGUAUUCAUAAGGCAUAUUGGUCUUGGAUCUCUUUGGCUUUGGUAAUGCUGGCCUCAUAGAAAUGAGUUGGGAAAUGCUCCCUCUUCUGUGUUUUGGUAGAAUUGAAGAAGGAUUAAUGUUGAUACUACUUGAAAUAUUUGGUAAAGUUCUACUAUAUUAGGGUGUCCCACACUGGUUGUUUAAACAGAGAGUUUAGUAUAAAGAAUAACUACACUGUUAGCUAGGCAACUGAAAGAGUGAAUUGAGAAUUCUGAGGCACUGGGCAAGUGGUUCUCAAAGUUCAGCAUGCAUGAGGGUCAACUGGAGGUCUUGGUAAACACAUUCCUGCUUUUGCCAUCUGAGCUGCUGCCUCAGUAGGUUGGGUGGUGCUUAGGAAUCUGCAUUUCUAACCAGUUCCCAGGAGGAUGCUGAUGUUGUUGAUCCUGGGACAGUAGUUUGAGAACCACUGUUUCAAGGUCUCAUGGGGGUAACAUCUAUAGUUUCUCCAGGCUGAGGGAACAAAGGGAACAAGUUUCAAUUAUUAAAACAUAGAAUCUUAGGAAAGGGGCCCCAUGCGCCUGGGUCUCAGUCGUCUGAAGGACUGCCAAAUGGCCAGUGGUGGUGUUUCCAGGACUGAAGGUAAGGUCUGUGGGGGUGGUGUGUGGGGCUGGUGCAGUGUACCUGGGGUUCUGCACAUGUUGGGAAAACCACAUGGGAUUAGCUGCUGCUGUGGGAAGGAAUUACAGCUAUAAAGAGACACUGCGGGAAUGAAGCUUCGAGAAAUGAGAAGAUAGGGAGGAGUCAGUCAGUCCCUCUUCAUCUCCAGUUUGCGGUUUCCUUCAAGCAUCCUUUACUGGCAGAGCUAACACAGAGCCAGCUGGCAAAGCAGCAGGGGUAUGCCAAUGAAAGGACAGGUUGGAACUGAGAGACUACAAUUGAAUCAUUGGCACCAUCAACAUACCUGCGAUACCUGUGUGAGCCUCUGUGUGGCCACCAACCAAUUCUUUUUCUGUUUAAUAAGAUGGAAAUAUCUUAUUUACACAUGAUGCACCUACCCUCGCCCCAAAAUUGAGAUGCAAAAUCUUAGCAGUCAGUUAUCCUUCACUGGACUAUGUUGAUUAUUCCCCCUAAAUCAAUCAUAGUUCCAUCUGAAAAUUCUCUUACAAAAAGAUACAAUUAACCUGCAAUAAAACUUGAAUAAAAUAAGAGAAUAAAUACACAUAUACAUAUACUCUAUGCCUCUCAGCAAAAGGAAGGAGAGGUUCUGUCCUCUUUUCUAUGAAUAGUCGUGUGGCCUUAGCUAGUAUUUGUAACUUCUGCUUCUACCUGUUCCAUAUUUCUUUGGCCUUCACUAGAACUUCAGCUCUUUGGGGUUUCCUACCUGACAAGUGCCUAAGAUCUGCAUUACUAAAGCAUCUGCACUGUCAGCAGUGCCUUUUUUUUUUUUUUUUGUACCUAUAAUUUACCAUUGACUUUUCUACUAGGCAUGGAAGGCUAAGAGAUACCUCAGUGGAUCCCCUGGAUUCCAGACAGUUCUUUCCCCCACUGGCAGCACAACCCAUUUGUCACUUGCCUCAGUGGCUUGAGGAGGCCACGUGGCAGAACCAUCGUUGUGGCACCUUGUGGCAGCAUUACCCACUUAACCUCCCACUAGUUGCAAAGAUGGCUUAAUGUUGGUAAGUGUGAUGGUAAGAGGAGUCACUCCACCUCCUCCCUUGAGUCCUAAACCCCUGUAUUCUGGCUCACAAACGGUACCCUGUAUUGCUUCUCAGGCAAAGCUAUGGAGCUUGGGUUUUAUUCUUUUUAUGUGUUUUUUCUUUCUCAGUUCCGUGAUUGAGCCAGAGGGAAUGAGCAUCUUGACUAGGUCUCCUUGUCUCUUUUUUAGCUUGCUUGUGUUUGAAAACUUUUUCCCCCUCCUUUUUGUUUAAUUUGUAUGCGUUUGCCUGCUCUUCCUUGAUGUUGAGCCCAGAAAUCUCUUUCUCACAGUUCAUUCCUAUUACCACUGCAGCUCCACUGGGUGGCCUGAGCUAUCAGCUUCUCUGCAGCAGCUCUCACAUGGCCUCCGCUGUCAGCUAGGAAUACCUGCACACAUAGCUCUUUGGAAUACUAAAAUACAUGGGUCUCUAAUGCUGAUGGCUAAUCAUUUUAGUUCAAAAAGCACGACUUUAUAUUUUGGUCAUUUGGGAUAGGAAUAAAAAGGCUUAAAUUUUCUAAAGUUUGUAAAAAGGAACAUAACUUGAAAAAAUGUUAUGAAAAGAUUUGAGGGGUGAGUGAUGUGGAGGUUAUUAGUCCUUUCAUAUUUAAGUAUGAAUUCUUUCUUUCUUUCUUAUUUCUUUUUUCUUUUUUGUCUUUUUAGGGAUGCACCUGCAGCAUACAGAAGUUCCCAGGCUAGGGGUCAAAUCAGAGCUGUAGCAGCUGGCCUGCGCCACAGCCACAGCAAUGCCAGAUCUGAGCUGCAUUUAUGACCUACACCACAGCUCACGGCAAUGCCGGAUCCUUAAUCCACUGAGUGGGGCCAGGGAUUGAACCUGCGUCCUCAUGGAUGCUAGUCAGAUUUGUUUCCACUGAGCCAUGACAGGAACUCUGAAUUGUUUCUUUUCAACUCUGCCUGAGAUUAGCUUCAUUAAGUUGAAUCACUUAGAAUGUCAAGAAUGUAAACAUGUAAAGACAAAUGUAUUACAAAAUAUUAACAUGCAGUAAAUGUGUUAGAAUACUCAGGUAUUUCAUUAUUUUGGUUUUGUUUGAGUUGCUUUAAGUGGUCAUCGUGACCAUUUUUUAAAAACUAUUAAUAGUCUUGGGGAGUUCCCGUGGCACAGUGGUUGAUGAAUCUGACUAGGAACCAUGAGGUUGUGGGUUCGAUCCCUGCCCUUGCUCAGUGGGUUAACGAUCCGGCGUUGCCGUGAGCUGUGGUGUAGGUCGCAGAUGUGGCUGGGAUCUGGCAUUGCUGUGGCUCUGGCGUAAGCUGGUGGCUACAGCUCCGAUUCGACCCCUAGCCUGGGAACCUCCAUAUGCCGCGGGAGCGGCCCUAGAAAAGGCAAAAAGACAAAAAAUAAAUAAAUAAAAAUAAAAUAAAAACCACUACUAGUCUUGGAAAGAGUGCAGUGAUUAGAGUCACUAAAGUACACCGACUGCUAGAUGACUGUGGUUUUCCAGGUUAGCCCCAAUGCAGAACACAGCAACGUUCUAUUAGAACUUUUACUCUUUUUAUAAAAAGGUAUUUUGUGAAAAUGAGCAUUUAAAAAUAUCUAUAUCAAAAUUCUUGAGCAGUAAUAUGACACGAUAAAGUUGUUCUAAAUUCUUGUUCUUACUUGUGUUUAGCAUGAGUCAUGAUUUCAUAUUACAUGUAUUAGUACAUAAAAAGAGGAGUCGGGGGAGUUCCGGUCGUGGCACAGCGGAAAGAAAUCCAGCAAGGAACCAUGAGGUUGUGGGUUCGAUCCCUGGCCUCAUUCAGUGGGUUAAGGAUCCGGUGUCGCCAUGAGCUGUGGUGUAGUUUGCAGAUGUGGCUUGGAUCCUGCAUUGCUGUGGCUCUGGCGUAGGCUCGAGGCUACAGCUCUGAUUAGACCCCUAGCCUGGGAACCUUCAUACGCCGCCGGUUCGGCCCUGAAAAAACACAAAGAGUCAGUUCCAGAAUUGUGGUAGUAACAUGAAAACUAUGCUCACAUAUUUUCUUUUCUGACCAUAGGAAUUCUCAAAGAAAGCACUGUCCUCUUCUAUCAGGUAAGACUGCUUGAAUCUUCCUUGUUCUCCUCUGGCUUGUCUACCAGCCUGACAAGUUGCCAAAGGUCCAUUAGGGGAGCUUGAAGUCUGGCCAGUUGCAGCUUUUCAGAUUGAGAGUUUAAUUACAUACCAGAAUUGCCUGUGAAUUUUCUAUUGUACGACUAUUGCUUUGUAAUUAUAUAGGAAUCAAAAAGCCUUUUGUCUGAAUAGAUUUGAUUCUAUUCUCCUGCGGUUAAAAACAAGAAAAGAAACAUUUUUCCCCUCAGAAUUUUCAAGUGACCAAUCUGUGGCUAAUUUAUAAUUAAUGCUUUCAGUUAGGUUCUCACAUGCCAUUUCCUUGAAUACUAAAUGAAUGAAUAUACUUUAUCUUCCAGUCGGAUGUGGGUCCAGUGUUCUCAGUGAGUGUUAUGACCUUUAUUUUUGGUGUAGAACUGAUAAGCUCUCAUAAUUUUGUGAGGGAAAGUGAACCCUAACAACAGCAAUUCAAAGAAAAAUUAGAUUAUUCCCAUAAUGAAGAAGGAGACGAGGAGUUCCCGUUGUGGCACAGGGGAAGCAGAAUCUGACUAGUAACCAUGAGGUUGUGGGUUCAAUUCCUGGCCUCGCUGAGUGGGUUAAGGAUCCGGCGUUGCCAUGAACUGUGGUGUAGAUUGCAGAUGCAGCUCAGAUCCUGCAUUGCUGUGGCUAUGGCCUAGGCCAACAGCUGUAGCUCUGAUUUGACCCCUAGCCUGGGAACCU
RNAcentral lists this long non-coding RNA (4643 nucleotides) under Sus scrofa (pig). RNAcentral describes it as "lncRNA (ENSSSCG00065010565.1)". Lineage: Eukaryota; Metazoa; Chordata; Mammalia; Artiodactyla; Suidae. The record is from RNAcentral.